CCUCGCUGUGGCGCAGCGUACACAUGCAAGUCGAGCGGUAACACAAGGGAGCUUGCUCCUGAGGUGACGAGCGGCGGACGGGUGAGUAAUGCCUAGGGAUCUGCCCAGUCGAGGGGGAUAACAGUUGGAAACGACUGCUAAUACCGCAUACGCCCUACGGGGGAAAGGAGGGGACCUUCGGGCCUUCCGCGAUUGGAUGAACCUAGGUGGGAUUAGCUAGUUGGUGAGGUAAUGGCUCACCAAGGCGACGAUCCCUAGCUGUUCUGAGAGGAUGAUCAGCCACACUGGGACUGAGACACGGCCCAGACUCCUACGGGAGGCAGCAGUGGGGAAUAUUGCACAAUGGGGGAAACCCUGAUGCAGCCAUGCCGCGUGUGUGAAGAAGGCCUUCGGGUUGUAAAGCACUUUCAGUAGGGAGGAAAGGUAAUAGUUUAAUAAACUAUUACUGUGACGUUACCUACAGAAGAAGGACCGGCUAACUCCGUGCCAGCAGCCGCGGUAAUACGGAGGGUCCGAGCGUUAAUCGGAAUUACUGGGCGUAAAGCGUGCGCAGGCGGUUUGUUAAGCCAGAUGUGAAAUCCCCGGGCUCAACCUGGGAAUUGCAUUUGGAACUGGCGAACUAGAGUCUUGUAGAGGGGGG
RNAcentral lists this ribosomal RNA (640 nucleotides) under Shewanella sp. BACT-E. RNAcentral's name for it is "bacterial SSU rRNA". It matches the Rfam family "Bacterial small subunit ribosomal RNA", at positions 31 to 661 of the family's 1533-position model. Lineage: Bacteria; Pseudomonadati; Pseudomonadota; Gammaproteobacteria; Alteromonadales; Shewanellaceae. The record is from RNAcentral.